Long non-coding RNA from Xiphophorus hellerii (green swordtail), 568 nucleotides. RefSeq lists it as uncharacterized. Lineage: Eukaryota; Metazoa; Chordata; Actinopteri; Cyprinodontiformes; Poeciliidae. The record is from RefSeq and is a predicted model, not a curated record. The transcript has 2 exons.
AUUUUGUUUUUCUUUUUGGUUUGAGUUUUUUUUUUUUCUGCCAUUGGAACCGGCAUUCCUCAUGACAUCCACCAGAUGUCGCCAACAUGCAGAGCCCCUGGGAAGCGGCUGAGUUCAACCCGUCUACACACCUGCAGCUUGUUUUGGAGGGCGUGGAUUAUGGACUUAAGCAGCAGCUCCUCUUCUUCUCAUCGCCUGAGUGUUUGCUUACUUCGAUAUCCUGCUGUUCUCUCGCGGUUCUGGCGAAGAACAGUCCUUCCCAAAUUCCGUGUGAGUCUGUGCCUCCCUCAUUGUGGAUACCUACCUCCUGUGUCCUCCCUCGACGCUGUCGGUGCUACCGGUCAGACGCCACUCCUCGUGUGCUCACCUUUUCCUCUCGUCGAUCCCUCUCCGGUGGAAUCCCCUUCCUUCCAAGUAAGACAGACUCUGAAUCAUUCCUGAAGGAUUCUCACCUUACUAUUCUAACCCGGCUUCUCCUGUUGGUAGCAAGACGACCCGGUCAUCAGCUCCAGUGUUCGCUUCCUGACCCCUCCCCUGACUUCAAUAAAACGUAUUAUUGUGCACUUUA